CACGUAGUUAGCCGGGGCUUCUUAGUCAGGUACCGUCUUGUCUCGUUCCUGCUGAUAGAGCUUUACAUACCGAAAUACUUCUUCACUCACGCGGCGUCGCUGCAUCAGGGUUUCCCCCAUUGUGCAAUAUUCCCCACUGCUGCCUCCCGUAGGAGUUUGGGCCGUGUCUCAGUCCCAAUGUGGCCCGUCCACCCUCUCAGGCCGGCUACUGAUCGUCGCUUUGGUAGGCCGUUACCCUGCCAACUGGCUAAUCAGACGCGGGUCCAUCCCAUACCACCGGAGUUUUUCACACAGGAGCAUGCGCUCCCGUGCGCUUAUGCGGUAUUAGCACCUGUUCCAGGUGGUAUCCCCCGGUAUGGGGCAGGUUACCCACGCGUUACUCCACCCGUCCGCCACUAAGAUACUCAUUUACCAAAGUGCAAGCCACCCCUUCCGUCAGCACUCCCCGUUCGACUUGCAUGUGUUAAGCACGCCGCCAGCGUUCAUCCUGAGCCAGGAUACAAACUCUA
This 509-nucleotide ribosomal RNA is filed under the name uncultured Lachnospiraceae bacterium. Its description in RNAcentral is "partial 16S ribosomal RNA". The record is from RNAcentral. Lineage: Bacteria; Bacillati; Bacillota; Clostridia; Lachnospirales; Lachnospiraceae.